Molecule: ribosomal RNA, 253 nt
Filed under: uncultured bacterium
Lineage: Bacteria
Description: partial 16S ribosomal RNA
Rfam family: Bacterial small subunit ribosomal RNA
Source: RNAcentral
UACGUAGGGCGCAAGCGUUAUCCGGAAUUAUUGGGCGUAAAGAGCUCGUAGGCGGUUUGUUAAGUCAGCUGUGAAAGCCCCGGGCUCAACCUGGGAACUGCAGUUGAUACUGGCCGACUGGAGUGCGAGAGAGGGAGGUAGAAUUCCAUGUGUAGCGGUGAAAUGCGUAGAUAUAUGGAGGAAUACCGGUGGCGAAGGCGGCCUCCUGGCUCGACACUGACGCUGAGGUGCGAAAGCGUGGGGAUCAAACAGG